Molecule: ribosomal RNA, 492 nt
Filed under: Aspergillus quadrilineatus
Lineage: Eukaryota; Fungi; Ascomycota; Eurotiomycetes; Eurotiales; Aspergillaceae
Description: partial 18S ribosomal RNA
Rfam family: 5.8S ribosomal RNA (bases 165-317)
Source: RNAcentral
AAGGAUCAUUACCGAGUGCGGGCUGCCUCCGGGCGCCCAACCUCCCACCCGUGACUACCUAACACUGUUGCUUCGGCGGGGAGCCCCCUAGGGGCGAGCCGCCGGGGACCAUGAACUUCAUGCCUGAGAGUGAUGCAGUCUGAGCCUGAAUACAAAUCAGUCAAAACUUUCAACAAUGGAUCUCUUGGUUCCGGCAUCGAUGAAGAACGCAGCGAACUGCGAUAAUAAUGUGAAUUGCAGAAUUCAGUGAAUCAUCGAGUCUUUGAACGCACAUUGCGCCCCCUGGCAUUCCGGGGGGCAUGCCUGUCCGAGCGUCAUUGCUGCCCUCAAGCCCGGCUUGUGUGUUGGGUCGUCGUCCCCCCCGGGGGACGGGCCCGAAAGGCAGCGGCGGCACCGUUCCGGUCCUCGAGCGUAUGGGGCUUUGUCACCCGCUCGAUUAGGGCCGGCCGGGCGCCAGCCGGCGUCUCCAACCUUAUUUUUCUCAGGUUGACC